Molecule: ribosomal RNA, 322 nt
Filed under: uncultured eukaryote
Lineage: Eukaryota
Description: partial 18S ribosomal RNA
Rfam family: Eukaryotic small subunit ribosomal RNA
Source: RNAcentral
CCCUUAGAUGUUCUGGGCCGCACGCGUGCUACACUGAGUGGAUCAGCGGGUCAGGUUGCGCGAAAGUGUUUCCUAAUCUUGAAAUCCGCUCGUGAUGGGGAUUGACGGUUGCAAUUUUCCGUCAUGAACGAGGAAUACCUUGUAAGCGCGGGUCAUCAUCCCGCGCUGAAUACGUCCCUGCCCUUUGUACACACCGCCCGUCGCUCCUACCGAUUGAGUGGUCCGGUGAGGCUUUGGGAUCUGAGCGGAAAGAGCGUUUCGCUGUUUCUGCUCGGAAAACUCAUUCGAACCUUAUCAUUUAGAGGAAGGAGAAGUCGUAACA